RNAcentral lists this ribosomal RNA (400 nucleotides) under phytoplankton environmental sample. Its description in RNAcentral is "partial small subunit ribosomal RNA". It matches the Rfam family "Eukaryotic small subunit ribosomal RNA", at positions 587 to 987 of the family's 1831-position model. The record is from RNAcentral.
AGCUCCAAUAGCGUAUAUUAAAGUUGUUGCAGUUAAAAAGCUCGUAGUUGGAUUUGGGACUGGAGUCGUCGGGUCGGCCGCGAGGUCUGUUACUGGACGGCUCCGUCAUUUCAUCUCUCGGAGACCCGUCGUGCACUUCGCUGUGCGCGGCGCGGGACUCGGGACGUUUACUUUGAAAAAAUUAGAGUGUUCAAGGCAGGCUCGCGCCUGAAUACAUUAGCAUGGAAUAAUGGAAGAGGACCUCGGUCCUAUUUUGUUGGUUUCUGGGGCCGAAGUAAUGAUUAAGAGGGACAGUUGGGGGCAUUCGUAUUUAAUUGUCAGAGGUGAAAUUCUCGGAUUUAUGAAAGACGAACAACUGCGAAAGCAUUUGCCAAGGAUGUUUUCAUUAAUCAAGAACGAA